AAUCACUAUGCAUAGGAAGUCAGAUGUGUAUAAUGUCAUUAAGCUUAAGUAAUUUUUAGGUGAACACGUGCAACUAUAAUAUAUAUGUGAAGCAUUCCUUUCUAUGAUCCGACUGUCUCUUCAUUUUAUGCAUUUCGCCACCUGAUAUUUAUUUUCAGGCUAAACUUUCUACCACAAUUUCUCUUUUCCACAGGAUUUACAAGUCAAAGCUUCUCCGUCAGUUCAAACCACACCACCGAUAAACAGCGAUCCUGCAAUUAUUCAGGCAAGUAGUACCACAACUGUUAUUUUUUUAAUUCAAUACUGAAUAUAACGAGAGUAUGAUCGUAGUUACAAGUUUAUGUUAAUUAAUUUGGGAUUUUUAUUGAACUUUUGAAAUGCACACUGUAAAUUAUAUUAGGAUGUUCUGUUUGAAAUGUAGAUUGUAAAUUAAAAUAGGUGUUUUUGUUUUGUACAGAUUGCAACUCCAAUAUAUUAGGGACCGAAUUUGAUGCUUUUGUUCAACUUCAACUACAUAUUCAGUGGAGUGUCGUCACUCGUCUACGGCAGUGAAGGGCCGUUGAGGCCGACUGGUGAAAUGGACCAGCCACUACUUUGCUCAGAUAUAUGUUCAUGGACUACCUGAAAACGCUACUCUUCUUGUGGCAUAAUGCUCCCAUGGAUCGUGUUCGGGGAGUUUUUGAGAUUAUUUUGAGGUACAGCGUGAUCCGAAGGCUCAUUUUUUGCUAUGUUUCUAUUCGUUGCUCACUCUUUUAUCGUCUUUUGUAUAAGGCAUGACUUAGUAUCUUCGGUAACAAAUAUUUCAUUCUUUAUGGAACGAUCGUUUAUGUUGCCUACGUUACAAAUGGGAAUAAUAUAGGUUGUGAAAAAAUUGUGUUAAUCGAUU
Molecule: non-coding RNA, 886 nt
Organism: Erythranthe guttata (spotted monkey flower)
Lineage: Eukaryota; Viridiplantae; Streptophyta; Magnoliopsida; Lamiales; Phrymaceae
Source: RefSeq, a predicted model, not a curated record